UACAGAGGUCCCAAGCGUUGUUCGGAUUCACUGGGCGUAAAGGGUGCGUAGGUGGUCAGGUAAGUCGGAUGUGAAAUCUCCGAGCUCAACUCGGAAACUGCAUUGGAUACUAUCCGGCUCGAGGAAUGGAGGGGAGACUGGAAUACUUGGUGUAGCAGUGAAAUGCGUAGAUAUCAAGUGGAACACCAGUGGCGAAGGCGAGUCUCUGGACAUUUCCUGACGCUGAGGCACGAAAGCCAGGGGAGCAAACGGG
RNAcentral lists this ribosomal RNA (253 nucleotides) under uncultured bacterium. RNAcentral describes it as "partial 16S ribosomal RNA". It matches the Rfam family "Bacterial small subunit ribosomal RNA", at positions 524 to 776 of the family's 1533-position model. The record is from RNAcentral.